Molecule: long non-coding RNA, 533 nt
Organism: Notolabrus celidotus (New Zealand spotty)
Lineage: Eukaryota; Metazoa; Chordata; Actinopteri; Labriformes; Labridae
Exons: 3
Source: RefSeq, a predicted model, not a curated record
GUGUGAUCUGUGAUGUUAUGUCAAGUCAUCACCGGUGUUCCAGUGAUUCCUGUGUCCCCGGUGUUUUUGUUAUUUCCUGGAUUUUGAGUUAACAUUUUGCAAAGGAAUAUUCUGUACCUCAACCCAGGAUGAACCAGUUGCUUUCUGUCAGAGGAUUGGUGUGUUGCAUGUUUCUGCUCUCAGGCCCUGAGUGGGACACUGAGUGUGUUUGGCAUCUGCUGGCCAGAUCCAAUCGCUCCCAAUCAGUAGUAGGAGGAAAAGGUGUGGAUGUGGAUGGAAUGAGGACAGAAAACGGCUGUGUGCCGUCACUCUGCUGCAGGACAAAAUAUGACUGAUGGAUUCCUCAGCCCUGCAGAAAGUGUCAGGGCGACCGCCUCGACCCUCAGGUGAUUCAGUCCUUCUCUGUCUUUUACUGUUCCCUCACUUCUUCAUUUCUCUUUUUUUAUUUUUACUCUUUACCUUCAAGCCAAAGCUAUGAAUAUAAGCAUUUCUCCCAGUUGAGACAAAAAUGUACUUUAACCUGCUUUUCACGA